UAAACGAUGCCUUAAGGGCUAUAUUUAUAGGGAAAAGAGAGGGGAUUUUGUCCACCCUUGGCAAGGUGGGACUAAAACACCUCCUAAGUCGUUUUCCCUACAAUAUGGACUCUAAAAAUAGAUUACAUGGGCCUGGCCCAAAAUAAGGUGGCGCAACACCAGUAAUAAGCUAUGGACAAAAUUUAUGAAAGGCCAUCUUGUAUAUCUCGUCCAUCAUCUUGUAUGUCAUUAUGGUGGCUUCAAAGUACGGAAGUCACCACUUGAACCUCUGUUCUUGUUCUCUUUGCACACACCUUCAUCUCCGUGCUUGACCACGCUCCAAUGUUCAAGCUUCUUGUCCCUUCUAUACCCUUCAAUUGCAAGCAACACAAAUGUAUCUAAGUUAGGCAACAUCAUAUUCUCAUGAACACUAGAAACAUUACCAAGAAACGAAAGUACCUGAUAAUUUAAUUGGCGUAUCUGAGCUCUAGCAAAUGUUCCGAGAGGUAAAACAGUAGGGGAUAUGGGUGUAACUAUGGUAGCGAUGUCCUCAUCAUCCUCCCCUUCUUGAAAACAAAGCCGUCCUCGGCGUUGCUUAAUCUGAAAUCUGGCUAACAAAAGAGACAAGGUGUACAUGUUGUAUAUGUAUAUGUCAUCCAUUUUCACUGAUCUCAGUUGAGGCACAUGUGACAUAGUUAUACAAGAGCACCCUACAAAAGUCGUGAAAUAUAAAGCCAAUAUAUUAUCAUAAGAAGUCAAAGGCAUGAAAAUAUUGCAACUCAGUUUGCACAUAUAAGUGAAGCUCUUAUUCAUAUCAAAAGAUUGACAAUGCUUAUCAUUAAACCAUCCCAACAUUGAUGAACCAUCACCAAGAUUAGAGGUCAUAUCAAAAUGAUUAAACAUUGGCACAAUUAUUUUCAAACGUAUUUGAUCCAAAUCUGAGUUAUUCCCUGAUUCACAUGGUUCUUUCGCAUCAAUAGUUAGUUCAAUGGGUUCACUCAAAAUUGUUUGAUCACAUGGCAAAGUCAAACCAUGAACAUAGUCUUCUAAAAUAGCUGGUGUGAUCAUAGUAGUGGGUAGCUCAUGGUAUGGUUCAUUCAAAUUGACAAGGCAUUCAUCAUACUCAUGUGGAGGUGGGAGAUCGAUACCUUUGUCAUUACCUCUUACGAUCAACUCAGAUGUAGGCACUGUCGGUGGUGUUGUGUCACAUGGUGGAGGUGAUGUAGUCCUCACAACAACGGAUGUGGUUUUCAUAGCAUGCCUAGUAGUUGAAAGAACAACCGUAUCAUCUCUUGGAAUGUGCACCUUGUGCUUGUUCUCUUUGAGGGCAACACGUCAUUUUAUUUCCUGUUCAGCUUUACAAGCAAGACGAAACAAACGAUCCAUAGGAUAACACUCUUCAUGAAUUAGUUUCUCCUGAAUAUCACGGUUUAAUCCUCCCCAAAAUCUAUCCAUAAAAUAUUCUUCAAUUUCUUCUAAAGAGGAAUGCAACAAGGUAGUUUGUAAAGCAUCAUAAUAUUUCGUUACGGUGUCACUACCUUGUUCUAAAUGUUACAACUUUUUAAUCAUGUCACGAGUAUAAUAAGCGGGAACGAAUGUAUGUCGCAUGGCAAGUUUCAAAUCAUCCCAAGUAGAAGGUAUAUCAUUAGGGUGUAACUGACAAUAUUCAUUCCACCAAACUAAAGCAUAAUCAGUGAAAGAACCAACCGCAACCUUAACUUUUUUAUGUUUAUCAAAAUUAUGGGAAGCAAAUAUAUUAUUUAUAUCGAACUCCCAUUCAAUAUAUAAAGCAGGUCUAAAACGGUCAUUAAAUGAUGGUAUAGGAACAUUAACCUGAUCAUGUGCAUUUGGAUGUUUAUGCACCUCUCGUGAUCGUUGUGGAAUUUGCAAAGGUGGCGGCACGUCUCCCGCGAUCAACAAAGCCCAUGAAUUGACUCUAGAUCCUGUCAUGAUUAGUAGAAACAAGAAACAAAAUCCAUAAAUAAUAUUCCUAUAACUACUAGGAUGUGGUGUUAAAACGCUCACAGUAAAGCAAAUAUCAAUGUCUUACAAGUUCUUACCAUGCAGCAGGCGGUGAUCGACAACCAGCGGUGUCAAGUAACUCCAAAAGUUGGGUAAAGCGAUUGUCAGGUGAACGUAUGGAUACACGGUGUAGAAAUAUGUGGAGCUGGGUUGGCUUUAUAUAUGUGGAAAAAAAUGCUACAACCACAUUAAUUAAUGCAAGCUGAGUAGUCGUUCAAGGUAGUCGAGUGUUGGUCCUAGACUAGACCAUGCUAGAGACGCGAGCCUAAGACACAAGUGUAAUUCACGUGCAGACUUGAGAUGCAACAAACCUUAUGAGUAAUGCAUCAACCAGAAAGUACUAGCACUAUUAUAUCUCCAAAUAGGUUGUACGUGGCUGUUCUCUCUUUGCUUUUUUUUGCCAACCUCUCUUUUUUUCAACCGAUAUGAGAAUCAAAGUGCCUUCAUCAAACAAAAAAAACUGCACGCAGGAGUCCUUCGAAAACCACUACAAUCGGAUCAGCGGUUUUUUUCCUAUCUCUCAAGGAUUGACCUGGAGUACUACUCCCAAACUUCCUUCCACGUUUUUUUUUCAACCUUGUCAAACGGAUCCGCAAUCCUUUCUUUUAGUCCGUGGCACAAGCAAGCGAAUAUAUCUAGACUUCCCAAAAAGAAUAACUAUUGGUCAAACUUUCCAAACCAACUAGUUUCCUUCCGUGGCAAAAUAACAUGCAGAAAAACUUGGAAACCGAAACAAUCAGAAUGGCAGUUUUUUUUUCAAUUCCCAAACGUGAAAUAUUCCCUUCCAAACUCCCUCUUCUUGCCUUUUUUUGUUGUUGCUGCGAUCUCCACUACUACCGUAAGGAAUCUGCUAUUUUUUUUCUUUAAACGUACAGAUCUCUUCCCAACAACCAAAACUCUUUCCUCGGAUACUGUUACAACCUUCCAAAACUUGUGCGCGUGACUUCUCUCUCUUCCCUAAAAUUCGGUCCAGACUAAGGCAACUCCGAUCUGCCUAGUUUAAUGUCACCAACCCCACCUUUUGUUUUCUCCUCCAAAAAUAAUCAGGGAUAUAUGAAACAGAUCAACGCUUUUUUUUUCACGUUGGCUGCUCCCUUUUUCUAGGAAACCGAGUCAAACUUCCGUUUUGAUCUCCAUGUUGGCUGCUCCCUUUUUCUUUUAGUCAAUCUCCAAUAUAUGCAAGUUGUCCAGCCGAAGGAAAGCAACAAAUCUUUUUUUUUGCUCGUGUAUCUUUGGAAACCGAACAAAGAUCUCCAAUCCAAGUAGUACUUCGUGGGAAAGUACUAUUCUGAUUUAUUUUUCCUGUUUUCAAUUAUCUCUCCUUCUCUCUUAGAGAACCUACGGGAUCAACACCUCUCUUCUUUUAUUUUGGCCGAUCUAACUUGCUUCAAAAGAUGUUUUUUUUUCUUUCCAGACCGAUCCAAUCACCCUUUUUUUCAACUCACAACACCUUACGAACAAGUCAAUUGACUAGAACGUGGUGUCUCUCUUACCAAGAAUCGUGGGAUUCCUUUCCUUCAAAACCGUGCAAGGCAAACCAUCUUUCUCUUUCUUUCUCUCCAAUAUUGCCCGUAGCAAUAUGUUGAACUUUUUUUUUUGCCCGAUCCAAUCUCUCUGUAAGGAUCUUUUCUCAAGUUUUUCUCCUCAAGAUGAACCAAAACACAAUGACGACAAAUGAUGAAGCUGGAUGGAUGAUAGUGAUGGCGGCAAACAAAACAAGUGGCAGCGAAAUAUGAUAAUGAAGUGGAUGAUGGUGGGAGUGGACGCGACGUGAACAAUACGUGACGAGAACUCAAAACUCUAAAAGUCUAACACUAGAACCAACAACUUGACACACGAUGCAACCGAAAAUUCAACAAUGCAAAAACGAAGUGGUAAUAGCGAAAAGGCUAAGACUGUCUGGGACACGGAGGAACUAAUCUAACUUUUUUUGUGGCUUUUUCUUGGACAAUAGGUAUGAAGAACAGAUGCAAUCUAAGACUAUGAAAAACUAGAAAAUCUCAUCGAGCAACCUGAAAACUGAUACCACUUGAUAGAUGCGGAGUGUCCCGAUCUUUCGAUGAGAUGAUAACUAUUGAUUUGGUGGAGACGACUUUGACGAUCCGACUACAAACGUGCACGACGUUGCGCCUUAGCAAUCGCUAAACCAAUCUCCUGAGGUUAUUGACCACGCCGGUGCACGAUCAACCUGACCACGAAGGUCUAUUCCUGUAAGCAAUCGAAGAACGAGCAAGAAUAUGAUAAAAGCAAUCUGAAUAUUGCGAAUAUGUAUGAAGUAUUGAUAAAGGUGGGGAUCUAAAAGCGGUCUUGGUCUGGUUGUUGGACACAAACGAAGUACACAAAGUUGCGUUGGCUAACUUUUAAGUAAACAAAUCCCAAGUCUAAACGAUGCCUUAAGGGCUAUAUUUAUAGGGAAAAGAGAGGGGAUUUUGUCCACCCUUGGCAAGGUGGGACUAAAACACCUCCUAAGUCAUUUUCCCUACAAUAUGGACUCUAAAAAUAGAUUACAUGGGCCUGGCCCAAAAUAAGGUGGCGCAACACCAGUAAUAAGCUAUGGACAAAAUUUAUGAAAGGCCAUCUUGUAUAUCUCGUCCAUCAUCUUGUAUGUCAUCAUGGUGGCUUCAAAGUACGGAAAUCACCACUUGAACCUCCGUUCUUGUUCUCUUCGCACGCACCUUCAUCUCCGUGCUUGACCAUGCCCCAAUAUUCAAGCUUAUUGUCCCUACUAGGCCCUUCAAUUGCAAGCAACACAAAUGUAUCUAAGUUAGGCAGCAUCAUAUUCUCAUGAACACUAGAAACAUUACCAAGAAACGAAAGUACCUGAUAAUUUAAUUGGCGUAUAUGAGCUCUAGCAACUGUUCCAAGAGGUAAAACAGUAGGGGAUAUGGGUGUAACUGUGGUAGCCAUGUCCUCAUCAGCACCAGGGGCCAGCUGGCCGGGCACCUGGGGCGGCGGCUGCAGUGCCCAGCAGCAGGGCCGGGCACCCAGGGCCAACCAGGUCGGGCACCUGGGGCGUCCAGGGAGGGGGCCGGCCGGCUGCUAGGGGACCGGGCACCCGGGGAUGUCCACGUCCGGGCACCCGGAGGGUCCAGGG
RNAcentral lists this long non-coding RNA (5095 nucleotides) under Triticum aestivum (bread wheat). RNAcentral's name for it is "long non-coding RNA (TAES_LNC022393)". Lineage: Eukaryota; Viridiplantae; Streptophyta; Magnoliopsida; Poales; Poaceae. The record is from RNAcentral.